AAUCAACGCUGGCGGCGUGCCUAACACAUGCAAGUCGCACGAGAAAAGGACUUCGGUCCUGAGUAAAGUGGCGCACGGGUGAGUAACACGUGAAUCAUCUACCUUCGAGUGGGGAAUAACCUAGAGAAAUCUGGGCUAAUACCGCAUAACACUUACGAGUCAAAGCAGCAAUGCGCUUGAAGAGGAGUUCGCGGCAGAUUAGUUAGUUGGUGGGGUAAUGGCCUACCAAGACGAUGAUCUGUAUCCGGCCUGAGAGGGCGCACGGACACACUGGAACUGAAACACGGUCCAGACUCCUACGGGAGGCAGCAGUGGGGAAUUUUGCGCAAUGGGGGAAACCCUGACGCAGCAACGCCGCGUGGAGGAUGAAAUCCCCUGGGAUGUAAACUCCUUUCGAUCGGGAAGAUAAUGACGGUACCGAGAGAAGAAGCCCCGGCUAACUUCGUGCCAGCAGCCGCGGUAAUACGAGGGGGGCAAGCGUUGUUCGGAAUUAUUGGGCGUAAAGGGUGCGUAGGCGGCUUGAUAAGUUUGGUGUGAAAUCUAUGGGCUCAACCCAUAGCCUGCACCGAAAACUGUCG
This 578-nucleotide ribosomal RNA is filed under the name uncultured bacterium. RNAcentral describes it as "bacterial SSU rRNA". It matches the Rfam family "Bacterial small subunit ribosomal RNA", at positions 28 to 638 of the family's 1533-position model. The record is from RNAcentral.